This 2357-nucleotide long non-coding RNA is filed under the name Erythranthe guttata (spotted monkey flower). RNAcentral's name for it is "long non-coding RNA (EGUT_LNC002117)". Lineage: Eukaryota; Viridiplantae; Streptophyta; Magnoliopsida; Lamiales; Phrymaceae. The record is from RNAcentral.
CACCCUCUCCUUCAUCCUCACUUGUUUCAUUCUGCACCUUAGAACACUCAUAUUUGCGUCCACUGUGUGUGAAUAAUUUCCUAUAUCAUUAAAUUAACAAUUUGCAUCAAUUUUAUAAAUAAUUAGGUUAUUAUAUCUUACAAUAUUAUCUCCCUGUUUUUUCAUAUAUUUUAUCUCAUAUUCAACAUUUAAUUUUUGUCACAUAAUUAAAAAUUAGGUACAUACCAAUAUAUUAUUUAAUUUAAAAAAAAAAACCUUAUAAUAUAUAAUUAAAUUCUAGAAGGGGAAUUAAAUUUUUUUUUUGGUUGGUUAAUCGAAUUAAUACAAAAGUGAAUAAUUAAAUCUUAUAUAUAAAAGAAAGAAACGCUAGGGCAACCCUAAGGAACCCUAAUGUCAUUUUUGUAAUUUCAUUUUUAUUAUUUUCAAUUUUUAUCAAUUUUUUAUCUCUUAAAUAUUACUUUAAAUGUUAUUUUUGAUUUUUAUCAAAUUUAUAUCUCCUAAAUAUUAUUUUAGAAAUUUAUCAUAUUUUUAUCUCCUAUAUAUUAUUUUCGAUUUUUAUCAAUUUUUUAUCUUCAAAAUAUUAUUUUCGAUUUUUAUCAAAUUUUUAUCUCCAAAAUAUUAUUUUAAAUAUUAUUUUCAAUUUUUAUCAGAUUUUUAUCUCCUAAAUAUUAUUUUCGAUUUCUAUCAAUUUUUUAUCCUAGAACCAGGCCUGCUCUCCUAUUUUCAGCCAUAAGUAUCUCUAAUGCACAUUCAAUUAAAUCUCCUAAAUAUUAUUUUCUCUCCUAAUUUUCAGCCAUAAACAUCUCAACACUACAUAUUAUUCUUUGAUGAUAAAAUACUAAUUAAUAUAUUUCCAAAGUUGGACGAUCCAAAGACUUCCCUUAAGACUCUCAACACUUUCAACUUCUCUCUUCCACUUCAACACAUUUGUGUUUUCUCUUCUUAUUUAUAUCCCACCUCUCAACUUCUCCACCCCAGUUUUAUCUCUCCCCGUUUCUACCAAAUGUUUGUGGAUUCAUAAAAGGUUAGUUAUUUUGCAAUUUUUUUUCUCUUCAUAAGCUAUUGGAAGUGGGCCUUCAAGACUUAUUGUGCAAUAUUUAAUUUAUUGUUUAUAUUUACCUUUAUUUCUUAAUUUUCCAAUUGUUAAUAUCCAUAUAUAAAAGAAAGAAACGCUGAGCAACCCUAAAAAACCCUAAUGAUAUUUCUGUAAUUAUUUAUUUUUAAUAUUUUUAUCUACUAAUUUAUAACUAUAAUUUUUAACGAUUAUCAAAAUUGAAACUAAUCGUGAAGAAUCUUACCCUAAAGGUACAUCUAUUUAUUUUUAAUAUUUUUUCUUUACUAAUUUUCUAACUAAUUUUUUCUCUACUUAUUAUUCUUAAUCUAUAUAUUUGGAUUAUAUAUAUAUAUAUAUAUAUAUAUAUAUAUAUAUAUAUAUAUAUAUAUAUAUAUAUAUAUAUAUAUAUAUAUAUAUAUAUAUAUAUAUAUAUAUAUAUAUAUAUAUAUAUAUAUAUAUAUAUAUAUAUAUAUAUAUAUAUAUAUAUAUAUAUAUAUAUAUAUAUAUAUAUAUAGAUAUAUAUAUAUAUAUAUAUAUAUAUAUAUAUAUGCAGCUGCAGGUAUAUAUGAAAAAUUAUCGCAGCAUAAUUGAGUCAAAGGUUUAUUUGUUAGUUUUUUAGGUUUAACUAUACAUUAUUUUGUCUUUUGUUGACCACAUUUACUGAGAUGAAGGGUUUUAAUUUGUUUCUAAGUUUUUUGUCAAUCCUCAAUAAUAAUUACUUUUAAGCUCAACAUGAAAGACAUAAUUGAUGAUUUUGUUCUUGGUUCAAUUUUUUAAUCUACUGGUAUUAGUUGAUUCAAUUUAUUUGGAAAAUUAUUCAACAGUAAAGUUAUUUGUUUUUUUUGUUUUUUUUUGUGUGUAAUAUAAUUAGUAAUGUUCCACUGAUGAAGUAUUCAUGAAUGAUUAUAACAGAAUUUUAAUCAUACGAUACAUCAAACGUUUGUUUAUGUUCUUACAACAUCAAAACAAUGCAAUUUGUUGCCCGUGCAUCGCACGGGGUACAAUUACUAGUUGAAUAAAUAAAAAAAAAAAAAAGUAGUACCUUCAUCCCUAAAGCUUUGGGAUCUGGCUUGUGCAGCAGGGAGUUGUACCUUAACCCUAGAGAAACAUGGAUUUGUUGUCCUGCAAAUUGAAAACGCACUCGAAGCACCCAUAGUAGAUAAUCCGUUCAUAUAUGCUUUUGCUUAAAAGCCCUUUAGUUUUGAAAAUAUAACAACCUAGUCCUCUCAAUAUUGCUUAUUUGCUUUUUUUUUUUGUUUUAACUCUCGGUGAAUUUCUUCUACUCUUGCUUGUUUCACAAAAU